RNAcentral lists this long non-coding RNA (3110 nucleotides) under Triticum aestivum (bread wheat). Its description in RNAcentral is "long non-coding RNA (TAES_LNC004641)". Lineage: Eukaryota; Viridiplantae; Streptophyta; Magnoliopsida; Poales; Poaceae. The record is from RNAcentral.
AUAUCACUUUAAAUAUGAAAAUUGAUACAUGCACACAUAUGUAAUGAAAUUAAACUUGACUAAUGCAACAGCAGAGUGAAAGUCUCAUGAAUAUGGGAAGAAAUGUUACAAAUGUUCUGCAUCCUUUUGACACUACCAAUCCAAAGUGAUUAUUUCUAUGGGCAAUUUUUUAACGAGCUUUAGUUAAAUUAUGUUCUUGAUGAAUAACAGUGGCUCUGAAAUGUGGCGUAGGUGCACCACUACCGACUAACUCCAACACCAUGCUGACAGCCCGCCUUGCCGAUACCUACCCGCCCACACUUGGUCCUCUUGCCCAGGACACUGCAUAGCAGGCAACACAUAAACUUGAUCAUACAAACCUUAAUCAAUUUUCUGCUUGCAAAAUAAAAGAGCAUAUUCCUAAACCACAAAGAUGGGACAACGACCAUCUCUGUCAGAGGAGGUAGUGUAUGAUUAAAAAAUGGUAGUUUGUUGUAUUAAAAAAUUGUAGAAAUUGGGGUGGAAAUCCGUGGAUCUACCAUGUAAGGAAUAUACUGAACAUAAUUUGGUCUCACUAUUUGUAGAGCUUAGAGAACAACAAAGUAAUGCAGAAAACAAAACAUGGGACUGUACAUAUUCUAACACACCACUGCACCAUAUAGAUACAAGAUAGAUCAAUUAGAAGGGGCAACUUGUGCUCUGUUUAUGAGAGAAAUAAAUCAAAUAAUAUUGCAAGAGAUUGAAAAAUGAUGGCAAGAACAAAUCAAAUAAUAUUGCAAGAUACAACACAUUAUGAAAGAUCAUACCUCGACAAAGCAAACCAGGGACUGUAGAUCCACGGAUGGCCACCGCAAUUUCUACAAUUAUGCAAAAUAAAAUACAAGGUAAGAAAAUCACUGAAUUAUAACUGGAAACUGAAUUUUGCUCUGAACCAUAGCAUGCACUUGACAAAGUUAAAUACCCAGAAGGAAAAUAUCAUAUGCGGUAAAGAUCAUGGAGAGAUCGAAUUGAUUGGAGUCUCUACUAAACACUUAUCGGCUUCAUCAUAUGGCCAUUAUGCUUGCUUCUGACAAUUAUGCUUCUAACUAAAGUACAAAAGUAUCCAAUGAGAUCGGAAACGCGCCUUGGCGCGAGGGUGCCGGUUACAACGUUGUGACCAAGUACAUAAUGCACAAUUUGAUAGCUCAGUUGAUAAGAAAUCACAUAGGACUAAAAAAGUCACUACCUUUAACUAUGUAAUCACCUGGAAAAAAUUGCAUAAUUGUUAUGAUAAUCCUGCUGGUACAAACUAUGAUAGUUAGGAUAAUAACCUUGGUGCUUUCAUAUGAAAAAAAACACCAACAAUCAUGAGGCCCUUAAGGAAUCCGUAAGGUACACAGUUCACAUACAUAUUCUAGAUGCACCAAUUGAUGAGCAUACAAAACGAUUUGAAAUUUCCUCGCAAACAUAUAGAACGUGGAAGCAAACUGCAGAUAGAAGAGAAAUAAGGCAACAUGCAAAACAGAAACUGGCCUCACCAUGAUACCUGUUACUUUUGCGAUCAAGCGUUCGUGGCCCAAAAUUUCAAAAUGAAGCCUGAAGAUUCAGAUCAAUAAAAAGUACACUGUCACUGCUUGCACAGGCUAGCACCUCUGGAAUGAGAGAAAUAGAAGUCUUCCAACAGAAAACUAAGGUUGCGCCCUUGCUUUUUCACUUGAUUGGAGAUGAUAUUAGCCUCACUGCUGAUGAGUACGUGAAGUAACCCCUCUUUGUUGUACAGCCGAGAGAGCUCCAGACUUUCUUUUUCCUUUUUUUACCUUUAACUGUACUCACUCCGUGGAACAGCAGGGAUUCUGUUCUUCGCUUCAAAAAUGAAAAUUGUGUCUUCCAGUUAGAAGUCUCCAGAUUUGUUACGGUGUAAAGUUAUGUAGCAGAAAUCUUAACUCAUCUAUUAUUUAUGCUGACAGUAAAAUCAGUAUAGUUACAUAAUACUGAAGUGCAUCCUUAGAACAAAAAUAACAGGGAGGUCUGAAUGCCUAUAAAAAUGGAAAAUGACACCAUUGAAUAGACAAACUAAUAUAGAUUAUUUGGAAAAGUGUAUUUAUAUGGUCAUCGAAUAAUAAUUAAUUCAGAGUAGUAAAUAGAUGUCAGAGGAUCCUAAUUCUACAGUUUGUACUCCAGAUACCAACAAUGGCUUUUUCAGCAAAGUUGUAACAUAAUAAGGUAAUGAGGUAGCAUGAGAGUACGAUUAAUUCAGAGCAAUAUGAAUGGAAUAAUCCUGAAGACAAUCAUUAGUACAGAGCACAUAUGAUGAACAUUAAUUCAGAGCUAACCUUCCAUAAUACGACCCUGUUACAUCUCAUGCAGUACCUUCUUUGCUGCAGUUAUGUGACGCUGUAGUUUCUUCUUUUCGUUCCAAUCCUGUAACGUAAAAUAUUCAGAGAAGAAAUAUUACAAUUCAGUACUAAUUUAGUGUAACGAAAGUUGCAAAAGGGGUAAAAUGCUUCCAUGGCAGAAUCUGAAACAAUCAUGUUAACUACUACCACUGUCCUAUAAUAUAAGACGUUUUACAGUUCACAAUAUUUUGAAACCCUAAAUCAAUCCAUGAUAUUGUAGAGGUUUCUAACUAUAACCACCUUAGCUCUAUAAGGUUAACAUUAUGUGUGAUGAGAAAGAGUUGCAGUUGCAAUUAACAGAAUUAAAUUAAUUUUUGUGCCAUCGUAAAACUGGAGUGAUGUAAAUCAAGUCAACAACCUAUACAACGCAAUCUAUGCAACAGAAAUAUCUUUUUUCUAAGGAUUAGUGUCAAAUUGAUUUGCGAAAAAAACUUGGAUUUACAAUCUGCAACCCUAUGUUUGUCCCAUUUAUCCGAAAACUUCAAGCCAUGUUUGUGUGUAACAGCUGGUACACUAAUGCAGUAGGAUACCGUUGGAUCAAGAAAUGAGGUCAGAUCAUAUAUUGUUUCUAUUUGUAUAAGACUACAAAUUUUUUAAAUUCACGCAGCCAGUGAUAUUUUUGAGCACCAUGGAGGAGGAAGGGGAGAAGUGAGACCGACGAGGAGAGAACCACACGCCCUCCCCAGCUCGUAGAGGAAAACACCAGGGACUCGAUAUGCCGGUACUCCUCGCCACCCCCGGGAAACUCUUCAAACU